Malus domestica (apple) is the source of this 738-nucleotide non-coding RNA. Lineage: Eukaryota; Viridiplantae; Streptophyta; Magnoliopsida; Rosales; Rosaceae. The record is from RefSeq and is a predicted model, not a curated record.
CUGAACCCUCCCUCUUUCUUUCCCUCUUUAUUUCUGAGUUGUGAUAAAUCUGAACCCUCCCUCCUUCUUUCCCCUUCUUUCGAACCCAAUCUUGAACCCUCCUUCUUUCCCCGUAGACCCCAAAUCUCCCUUUCUUUCUUUCCCUCAUUCUUUCCCCUUCUUUCGAACCCAAUCUUGAACCCUCCUUUCCCCGUAGACCCAAAAUCUCCCUCUCUUUCUUUUCCUCUUUCUUUCCCUCGAUUUACUGAAACAAAAGUAGGAAGGAGAAACUGUUUGAUCAUCAACGACUGGAUUUCACGACAACGAGUCCGCGGCUGGGUUUCACGACAACGAGUCCGACUCGGAAUGAGUCGAAUCGGGUAUUGGGCCGUGGAAGGGACUUUUUAGUUUCUUCUUUUUCUUCUGUAGGUGUAUGGGUAAGGAAGGGACUAAUUAGGAACAAAGAGUGGGGUUAGGAGGCUCAGAGGAUUGGCAUGAUCAACACACUGCAAGAAAUGUGUAAUGCUCGUGGAAACACCUGAACAGCCUGGCAUGUGACUCUGCUUUGUUUUCUCUGGAAAGAAUUUUGUUUCGUUAUGAGUAAUUAUCGAUGUGUUGCAGUUAAUGAUCUUUUUCAUAUGCCACCCAUGCUGGGAAGUUCGAAGAAUGAAUUAUGACACAACCAGAAGGAUAGUUUCUGCUGCUCUGCAAUUGACUGAACCUCUUUUAGUUGAAUUCAUGAAUUUCACGUCUGUAGUU